GCCUAAUACAUGCAAGUCGAACGGAGUAGCAAUACUUAGUGGCGAACGGGUGAGUAUAAUGUGGGUAUCUGCCUUUUGGUGAGGAAUAACACGGGGAAACUUGUGCUAAUACUUCAUAAGCCUUCACAGGGAAAGUUUUAACGCCAAAAGAUGAGCUCGCACUUGAUUAGCUAGUUGGUAAGGUAAUGGCUUACCAAGGCUACGAUCAAUAGCUGAUCUGAGAGGAUGAUCAGCCACAUUGGGACUGAGACACGGCCCAAACUCCUACGGGAGGCAGCAGUAGGGAAUCUUGCACAAUGGGGGAAACCCUGAUGCAGCGAUGCCGCGUGAGUGAAGAAGGCCUUUGGGUUGUAAAGCUCUUUCGUCGGGGAAGAAAAUGACUGUACCCGAAUAAGAAGGUCCGGCUAACUUCGUGCCAGCAGCCGCGGUAAUACGAAGGGACCUAGCGUAGUUCGGAAUUACUGGGCUUAAAGAGUUCGUAGGUGGUUAGAAAAGUUGGUGGUGAAAUCCCAAGGCUUAACCUUGGAACUGCCAUCAAAACUUUUUGACUAGAGUAUGAUAGAGGAAAGUGGAAUUUCUAGUGUAGAGGUGAAAUUCGUAGAUAUUAGAAAGAACACCGAUUGCGAAGGCAGCUUUCUGGAUCAUUACUGACACUGAGGAGCGAAAGCAUGGGUAGCGAAGAGGAUUAGAUACCCUCGUAGUCCAUGCUGUAAACGAUGUGUGCUAGACGUUGGAAAUUUAUUUUCAGUGUCGCAGCAAAAGCGUUAAGCACACCGCCUGGGGAGUACGACC
Molecule: ribosomal RNA, 792 nt
Filed under: uncultured Pelagibacteraceae bacterium
Lineage: Bacteria; Pseudomonadati; Pseudomonadota; Alphaproteobacteria; Candidatus Pelagibacterales; Candidatus Pelagibacteraceae
Description: bacterial SSU rRNA
Rfam family: Bacterial small subunit ribosomal RNA
Source: RNAcentral